UUGGCUCAGGAUGAACGCUGGCGGCGUGCCUAACACAUGCAAGUCGAACGGGGUGUCUGAUCUUCGGACUGGACACUUAGUGGCGGACGGGUGAGUAACGCGUGGGUAACCUGCCUCAUACAGGGGGAUAGCAGUUGGAGACGACUGAUAAUACCGCAUAAGCGCACAGUACCGCAUGGUACAGUGUGAAAAACUCCGGUGGUAUGAGAUGGACCCGCGUCUGAUUAGCUUGUUGGCGGGGUAACGGCCCACCAAGGCGACGAUCAGUAGCCGGCCUGAGAGGGUGAACGGCCACAUUGGGACUGAGACACGGCCCAAACUCCUACGGGAGGCAGCAGUGGGGAAUA
This 347-nucleotide ribosomal RNA is filed under the name uncultured rumen bacterium. Its description in RNAcentral is "bacterial SSU rRNA". It matches the Rfam family "Bacterial small subunit ribosomal RNA", at positions 19 to 363 of the family's 1533-position model. The record is from RNAcentral.